AGAGUUUGAUCCUGGCUCAGAUUGAACGCUGGCGGCAGGCCUAACACAUGCAAGUCGAGCGGUAGCACAGAGAGCUUGCUCUCGGGUGACGAGCGGCGGACGGGUGAGUAAUGUCUGGGAAACUGCCUGAUGGAGGGGGAUAACUACUGGAAACGGUAGCUAAUACCGCAUAAUGUCGCAAGACCAAAGUGGGGGACCUUCGGGCCUCAUGCCAUCAGAUGUGCCCAGAUGGGAUUAGCUAGUAGGUGGGGUAACGGCUCACCUAGGCGACGAUCCCUAGCUGGUCUGAGAGGAUGACCAGCCACACUGGAACUGAGACACGGUCCAGACUCCUACGGGAGGCAGCAGUGGGGAAUAUUGCACAAUGGGCGCAAGCCUGAUGCAGCCAUGCCGCGUGUGUGAAGAAGGCCUUCGGGUUGUAAAGCACUUUCAGCGGGGAGGAAGGCGAUAAGGUUAAUAACCUUGUCGAUUGACGUUACCCGCAGAAGAAGCACCGGCUAACUCCGUGCCAGCAGCCGCGGUAAUACGGAGGGUGCAAGCGUUAAUCGGAAUUACUGGGCGUAAAGCGCACGCAGGCGGUCUGUCAAGUCGGAUGUGAAAUCCCCGGGCUCAACCUGGGAACUGCAUUCGAAACUGGCAGGCUAGAGUCUUGUAGAGGGGGGUAGAAUUCUAGGUGUAGCGGUGAAAUGCGUAGAGAUCUGGAGGACUACCGGUGGCGAAGGCGGCCCCCUGGACAAAGACUGACGCUCAGGUGCGAAAGCGUGGGGAGCAAACAGGAUUAGAUACCCUGGUAGUCCACGCCGUAAACGAUGUCGAUUUGGAGGUUGUGCCCUUGAGGCGUGGCUUCCGGAGCUAAACGCGUUAAAUCGACCGCCUGGGGAGUACGGCCGCAAGGUUAAAACUCAAAUGAAUUGACGGGGGCCCGCGCAAGCGGUGGAGCAUGUGGUUUAAUUCGAUGCAACGCGAAGAACCUUACCUGGUCUUGACAUCCACAGAACUUUCCAGAGAUGGAUUGGUGCCUUCGGGAACUGUGAGACAGGUGCUGCAUGGCUGUCGUCAGCUCGUGUUGUGAAAUGCUGGGCUAAGUCCCGCAACGAGCGCAACCCUUAUCCUUUGUUGCCAGCGGUCCGGCCGGGAACUCAAAGGAGACUGCCAGUGAUAAACUGGAGGAAGGUGGGGAUGACGUCAAGUCAUCAUGGCCCUUACGACCAGGGCUACACACGUGCUACAAUGGCAUAUACAAAGAGAAGCGACCUCGCGAGAGCAAGCGGACCUCAUAAAGUAUGUCGUAGUCCGGAUUGGAGUCUGCAACUCGACUCCAUGAAGUCGGAAUCGCUAGUAAUCGUAGAUCAGAAUGCUACGGUGAAUAAGUUCCCGGGCCUUGCACACACCGCCCGUCA
This 1400-nucleotide ribosomal RNA is filed under the name uncultured bacterium. RNAcentral describes it as "bacterial SSU rRNA". It matches the Rfam family "Bacterial small subunit ribosomal RNA". The record is from RNAcentral.